Melanaphis sacchari is the source of this 2013-nucleotide long non-coding RNA. RefSeq lists it as uncharacterized. The transcript is spliced from 6 exons. Lineage: Eukaryota; Metazoa; Arthropoda; Insecta; Hemiptera; Aphididae. The record is from RefSeq and is a predicted model, not a curated record.
GAUAACGAGAGAGAGAGAGACGUGAAUAACGGUUCAAAAAGCAUUAAAUCCGGUUAAGAUGGAAAUUUUUUCAGCAGUCACGUACGUAGUUAAGGAACAAUACACACAUUGGCUGGCGUAGUGGCGUGUCGCGAAUCGUGUGUGAGUAAUUUCAAACUGCGUGUGUUUGUUUAACAGCGUCUCCGUCUUGACUAUUUGUGUCGUCUUUAAUAAUCGAUUCUGUGCAAUAAGGUCCAAGAUCGGCUUUACCGUUGACGUAUCCAGAAAAAGUCAUGUUUGUGUAUAAACACAGAGAAUCUAUGUGCUAUAGACAAUUGAAGGGCUACAUUCCAAAACGCACUAUUGCCAUUUUUAUCGAAAUCGAGUUAGAUAUCGAUUCUUAUGGUAAAUAUGCUGAGAAAUAUGAAUUUGGAAUUGUUUUUUCGAUAUCACGAUUAUUUUUUCAGUGGUAUCGAUCUUAAAUUCGGUAUUUGUUUCAAAACGUGCUAUCGCCUAUAUUAUUAGUUUUCAAAACGUUCUAUUGCCACUUUGUUCCAUAACGUGCUAUUGCCCAUAAUAUAAAUAUAGAACUCAACUAGUUGUUACGUCAAAACGUCCCAUUGCCAUAUAUUAUUCCAAAACGCGUUAUUGCCAAUCUCAAAGCAAAACGUACUAUUUCCCAUACUAAUUACAUAGGACAUAAAUUCUCUAUUUUCCAAAACGCGCUAUUACUUUUUGAUAAUUUUAACAUAAAAUUAAUUUCGAUUUUACUUUGUUUAAAUAAAUUUGAGUAUUAAAUUUGUAAAUACGAUUAAUUCCAAUUUUAUGUUCAUAACUUUAUCAACUCGAUGAAAAAAAAAAAUCAUUCCUAACUUCAUUUGAUGAUAAAAAAAAAGUGUUGUUAAUUUGGCUGUUUACCGCCAAAAGUUCAUUGAUAACGUAUUAUGCAUAAUAUUGCAUUAACUUAUCACAAAGGAUAAAAAACUGAUGAAAAAUAAUUUAUUAGUUUUUGAAAUACCUUUAAAUAAAGAAAAAGAUUUUCAAAAUGAAUCGUCGCUCCAAAAAACUUGUACUUGCUGCUAUAAGUGAAGUCAUCUAAAAAAAGAACGGAACAUGUGUGAUUCGCAAUAAGGGAUUAUUCUGGGCAUUUACACUUCAUAGACUUUCAAGAAAUGCUGUAUCUAUGUUUUCUACACCUUGUGUAGAUAUAUUGUUGGGUAUGAAUUCAGUGGCCUUAAAUCCCAGAUAGUUGUAAAUUACAUGAAUGUUUGUUCAACAAAAAAUGUUUAUUCAACGAUCUACAUUAUCUGAAAAAUGCAAGCAAAUUAACAUUUAAAAUUAUAUGCAUUUUAUUUAUAAAUUAUGUGAUGGUAAAAUAUAAACAAAAAACUAUGGCAAUUGUAAAAGGGCUGAGGAUACUUGUAGCUACAUUAUACCUGUGAAUAGUAAUUUAUCUAGUGUUUCACAUAAUAUAAUGAUGGAAAAAAAAAUUUUUAAGGAUGAUGUUUAGAGUUUGAAAGAAAAACAUAAAGUUUUAGAGUAAUAAUUUAUUUAGUAAAAGACUAUUUAACAACAUUGGCUACCAUUUGGCAAAAUCCAAAUCCUCAAAAAUGUUGGUGUCCAGAUAAAAUUAUAAAAUUAUUACUUACCCUCAAUAAGUAUAUGUUUAUUCAGUCAUCCUUGAAUUAAUACAUAAGCAGGCGAUAAACAAACUUAAUAUUUAGAUUUAAAAAAUGAGCAUGUGCUCUUCGUUAUAGUGAACAUUCACAAUAACUUAUUUUUACCAAAAACUGGAGAAACUAUAGCUGAAGCUGCUUUGUUAAUGCUUGUUGUAAAAAUCUAUGUAUUGGUUAAUUAUUUAUAUUGUUAUUAAUUCAUAUUUUUUUUUACUGUGGAACAAAUAAAGUUUAGUCAUACCAAAAUUUGGUAACAUCUCCAUUACUAUUACUCAAAGCUAUUACAGGAACAUAUUUAUUAACACACAAAUAUUCAUUACAAAGGGAUUCUAGUCUGAUUUAAUUGGUUGAUUUAUGU